Small nuclear RNA from Fistulifera solaris, 192 nucleotides. It matches the Rfam family "U2 spliceosomal RNA". From Rfam's summary of the family: U2 is a small nuclear RNA (snRNA) component of the spliceosome (involved in pre-mRNA splicing). Complementary binding between U2 snRNA (in an area lying towards the 5' end but 3' to hairpin I) and the branchpoint sequence (BPS) of the intron results the bulging out of an unpaired adenosine, on the BPS, which initiates a nucleophilic attack at the intronic 5' splice site, thus starting the first of two transesterification reactions that mediate splicing. NCBI's taxonomy places the organism in Eukaryota, Bacillariophyta, Bacillariophyceae, Naviculales, Stauroneidaceae. The record is from Rfam.
UCAUCUCUCUUCGCCAUAUUGGCUUUGAUCUGUUUGUAGUAACUGUUCUAUAUCUUUUAACAAAGAUAUGCUAUCCUUGGAUAGCUUUUUGUUAUACUAUUCUUUGCAAACGGGAGGAACCCGCUGCGCUUGCGCAGUCUCCUCCACGCAUGGUCUAGGCAUUUCACACACCGCCCUGACUGUGCAACCCCC